RNAcentral lists this ribosomal RNA (546 nucleotides) under uncultured Glomeromycotina. Its description in RNAcentral is "SSU rRNA". It matches the Rfam family "Eukaryotic small subunit ribosomal RNA", at positions 548 to 1098 of the family's 1831-position model. The record is from RNAcentral. Lineage: Eukaryota; Fungi; Glomeromycota.
UUGGAGGGCAAGUCUGGUGCCAGCAGCCGCGGUAAUUCCAGCUCCAAUAGCGUAUAUUAAAGUUGUUGCAGUUAAAAAGCUCGUAGUUGAAUUUCGGGAUUAGUACGUUGGUCGUGCCUUCGGUACGUACUGGUGUUACUGAUUCCUACCUUCUGACGAACCAUCAUGUCAUUAAUUUGGUGUGGCGGGGAAUCAGGACUGUUACUUUGAAAAAAUUAGAGUGUUUAAAGCAGGCUCGCGCUUGAAUACAUCAGCAUGGAAUAAUGAAAUAGGACGUUGACCCUAUUUUGUUGGUUUCUAGGAUUGACGUAAUGAUUAAUAGGGAUAGUUGGGGGCAUUAGUAUUCAAUUGUCAGAGGUGAAAUUCUUGGAUUUAUUGAAGACUAACUACUGCGAAAGCAUUUGCCAAGGAUGUUUUCAUUAAUCAAGAACGAAAGUUAGGGGAUCGAAGACGAUCAGAUACCGUCGUAGUCUUAACCAUAAACUAUGCCGACUAGGGAUCGGAUGAUGUUAUUUUUAAUGACUCAUUCGGCGCCUUACGGGAAAC